Molecule: long non-coding RNA, 3868 nt
Filed under: Macaca mulatta (Rhesus monkey)
Lineage: Eukaryota; Metazoa; Chordata; Mammalia; Primates; Cercopithecidae
Description: lncRNA (ENSMMUG00000053410.1)
Source: RNAcentral
AUGAUUGCACCCGGCAAUGAAAGAAAAGGGAGAAACGGCACGUGUCUGGCCUCACUUAGAGGUUUGGCGGUGAUUUUACCCACUGCUUCAUAUGGUUCUGCUGAACACAGCUGGUCAAGUGACCUACAACUGAGGAGAUACAGGGCCUCAGAUGACAAAAUGAAGCCAAAUUCCCAGCCUUUCCUAGGAGAGCACAGCAGUUUUUCUCUGCUGAACAGAUCCUCUGAGCACACUGGAUGGGAGGCGGAGGAUGCGUGCUCAGGGCAGGAGCCCUGGGAUGCUGAAGUCAGCAGGGUCCAGGCCCUCUGUCCCUCCAGCUCCCUCAGCCCCUCACUCAGGAUGUGCAUUGGACCUUUCUCUACAUUGGUGCUGUUUCUUGCCAGGUCUGUUUUUACUCCUGCCUCUGGUGGAGCUUAGGGAGGACCACUUGGGGGCCAUGUCUCCAACUUCAGCUCCCUGAGCCUCCCACCCACCCAGUUCUCCCACCUGGAGGGCACUGCAAGGCCCGCAUUAAUUAGGGUUCUCCAGAGAAACAGCCACACGUAUCUGAAACACUCUACACUGACAGGAUGGGUGUAAAUAGAGAGAGGGAUAUAUUUUAAGAAAUUGGACUGGGUGCAGUGGCUCAUGCUUAUAAUUCCAGCACUUCAAGAGGCUGAGGCAGGUGGAUUGCUUGAGCCCAGGAAUUUGAGACCAGCCUGGGAAACAUGACAAAACCCUGUCUGUACGAAAAAAAUACAAAAAUUUGCUGGGUGUGGUGGUACAUGUCUGUAGUCCCAGCUACUCGGGAGCCUGAGGAGGGAGGAUUGCUCGAACCUUGAGGUGGAGGCUGCAGUAAGCUGUGAUUGUGCCACUGCACUCCAGCUGAGAUUGUGCCACUGCAUUCCAGCUUGGGUGACAGAGCAAGACCCUUUUCCAGAACCCCAUCCCCACACACUCAAAAAGAAAUUGGCUCAUGUGAUUGUGGGGGUUGGGAAGUCCAAAUUUCGUGGGGCAGGAGACCCAGGCAAGAGUUGAUGUAGCUCAGGUGCAGGGGCAGUCUGGAGGCAGCAGUUCCUCUUCUUCAGGAGGCCUCCAUUGUUUAACUCCUUUAACAGAUUGAAUGAGGCCCAACCCCAUUAGGGAGGGGCAUCUGCUUUACUCAAGUCUACUGAUUAACUAUAAAUCGCAUCUAAAAAUGCCUUCAUAGCAACAUCAAGACUGGUGUUUGACUAAAUAUCCGGUGGCCUGGCCACAUUGACGCAGAAAAUGCUCCAUCCCAAGGCCUUCCUCAGCAUGAGAGGAGGCAGCCACCAGAGUUGAUCUCCGUCGCACAGGUCUACUGAAGCAGCUGGAACACGGGUGACGAACACCACGGCAGAACUUCUCUGACUCAAAGGCAUUCUGAGCUGGGAACAAACCUGGUGCCUAAGUCAGGUGGAAUUGUCAGUCACCUGAAGAAGCAGUGGAGGCAGGAAGAAGUCGAGGCGUUUAUUCACUGCUAACUAACAUGCUUCUGUGUUGGGCUCUGCAAAGGUCUGUUCGGUGAACUUCACUCAGGGCUCCUGAAAGCUGCCCCAAGCCUGAACGCAAGCACAUGAGGAGACACAGGAACAUCUGGUGAAGAAGCGCGUGACACCAGAAAGAUGAUUGUUUACUCUUUGCCAUUUGGGAGUGAGUUUGAGGGCAGGACUGUGGCACAGUGUGGUGGAUUAAGGAUUCUUUGCCACUUCUAUCACUGAGAGGUACAAGCGGCUUCCCCUCCCCUUGAAUCUGCACUGGCCUCGUGACUCGCUUGGCUAAUAGAAUGCAGAAUCUCUGUGCCAGUUCUUGGGAAAGCCUGGAAGCUUCAUGUUCGUGCUCUUGGAACCCAGCCGCCAUGGGGUGAGGAAGCCCAAACUGUUCUCCUGGAGACAGCAGCAACACGGGGAACCCUGGAGGAUGAGACACUACACGGGGACAGAGAGACCUGGGGUGGGGAGCGAACCCAUGAUCUCCAGCGUACAGCCAGCACCCAGCCCUCAGAUGUACAAGACACCUUCAUGGUCCUUUUGGCCAGCCCAGCCCCAAGACAGACACACUGGUGUGAGCAAUCCAUGGGGACACCCAUGAAGAGCCACCCACGCAGGUCACAGGACCAUGGGAAAUCACUGAAGUGUUACUUUGAGUCACGAUGUUUCACGGUGAUUUGUUAUUCAGCAAUAGGUCAUUGAAACACAUAGAGUGGCAAGAUGAAAGCAAUUUAUCCAGGAAAACAUUCUGCUCUCAGGAGACAAAGGAGAAUCAAUAUUUGAUACAAAGAAGUGACCCAUUCAUGACUUACUUUGAUGGGAACUGUUCAAAGAACAUGAAAGAGUCUAAUGAUUGGAGAAACAGAACAAUUUGGUGGCACAAAAGUUUCUGGGUGCUGGACAGAAUCCCAUCUUUGUCAUAGCUAGCUGCAGACUUUGGGCCAUAACUUUUCUGACUUGGGGCUUAGAAGGCACCGCUGGAGUUGUGGCUCUCAGAGCUCUGAUGGAGGACAGUUUGCCGUGUGGGGGGGCAUGCAGGAGGAAUGGCGUUGGUGGAAACCUGGAGGAAUGGCAUUGGUAGUAACCUGGAAGAACAUCUGAAAUGAGAGCACAGCCCCUCAAUCUUCGUGAGCCUCCGAGUAGUGGCAGCAGCAAGUUUUGAUGAACUAGGAAAGGAUGAAAACAAAGGUGUUCUGAUCGAGCUUCAUGCUCCUAGUGUGAUGAAUUAAGCAACUUGGAGCCCAGGUAUAAAGAACUCAGGGCAAGGCGUGGUGGCUCACACCCGUAAUCCCAGCACUUUGGGCGGCCGAGGUGGAUCACCUAAGGUCAGGAGUUUGAGACCAGCCUGGCCAACAUGGCAAAACCCCGUCUCUACUAAAAUUACAAAAAUUAGCUGGGUGUGGUGGCGCAUGCCUGUAAUCCCAGCUACUCCGGAGGCUGAGUUAGGAGAAUUGCUUGAACCUGGGGGACGGAGGUUGCAGUGAUCUGUAGAGAUCGCACCACUGCACUCCGGCCUGGGAGAGAGAGCGAGAUUCCAUCUCAAAAAACAAAACAAAACAAAACAAAAAACUCAGGAGGAAAGUAAACCCACCUCUGGUUAUUGGCAGAGACACAUGAAACCACAGCCAGCGAUGUGCCCUCCACACGGGCAGCCUGGGCUUCCUGAUUUGCUACUUUCUUCCCAUCGGUAAGAGGUUAAACUCAGAGCGGUGAAGGCAGAUGGGAAACAGGUGAAGUUAUUAGCUGCCUACAGUGAGAAGCUACACCUGCUCUGCAAUCAAAAACAAAACAAUGCCCAGAGGCCGGGCGCGGUGGCUCAAGCCUGUAAUCCCAGCACUUUGGGAGGCCGAGGCGGGCGGAUCACAAGGUCAGGAGAUCGAGACCACAGUGAAACCCCGUCUCUACUAAAAAUACAAAAAAUUAGCCGGGCGCGGUGGCGGGCGCCUGUAGUCCCAGCUACUCAGGAGGCUGAGGCAGGAGAAUGGCGGGAACCCGGGAGGCGGAGCUUGCAGUGAGCCGAGAUCGCGCCACUGCACUCCAGCCUGGGCAACAGCGUGAGACUCCGUCUCAAAAAAAAAAAAAAAAAAAAAAAAAAAAAACAAUGCCCAGAAAGCUCACGAAUGCCGUAACCAAAGGAAGCACUUUGUAACAGGCCCCUCCAGCCAGGACAGGAAAACCAAUGGAUGCUGGGACUAGCACAGGGGAGAGGUGCUCUUCCUUCUGGAUCCAGAGGAUAACAUGAAUGAGAUCUGAAUCCUGCUGAGUUUCUUAGCUGCCCUCUCCAUGGGGACAUGAAGACCAGUUGAUGUUGAUGGUAUGGGGAAAAGUUGUUUGUGUUGAAGCAAAUGUUGUGGGGUUGGGGAGAUUACAUUUGGAAC